Long non-coding RNA from Malurus melanocephalus (red-backed fairy wren), 298 nucleotides. RefSeq lists it as uncharacterized. The transcript has 3 exons. NCBI's taxonomy places the organism in Eukaryota, Metazoa, Chordata, Aves, Passeriformes, Maluridae. The record is from RefSeq and is a predicted model, not a curated record.
CGGAGCGCAGUGACCAUGUGGACGCGCAGCUAAGGCGGCGGCGGGCGCAGCCUCCGGGAGCCGGACCGCCGCCGGAAUGGGGCUACCGAACCGUCCAUAGCCCGCCCCGCCGCCUCCGUAGCCAGGGGCAGUAAGCCAGAGAUGACUGACAAGAUGUCGAGCUUCCUUCAUAUUGGAGAUAUUUGUUCUCUCUAUGCAGAGGGCUCAACAAAUGGAUUUAUUAGCACUUUGGGCCUUGUGGAUGAUCGGUGUGUUGUACAGCCAGAAGCAGGUGAUCUUAACAACCCACCCAAAAAAU